Molecule: ribosomal RNA, 260 nt
Filed under: uncultured bacterium
Lineage: Bacteria
Description: partial 16S ribosomal RNA
Rfam family: Bacterial small subunit ribosomal RNA
Source: RNAcentral
GCCCUUAGAGUUUGAUCAUGNCUCAGGAUGAACGCUAGCGGCAGGCCUAAUACAUGCAAGUCGGACGGGAUUGCAGUACAGCUUGCUGUACUGCAUGAGAGUGGCGCACGGGUGCGUAACGCGUGAGCAACCUGCCCAUAUCAGGGGGAUAGCCCGGAGAAAUCCGGAUUAACACCGCAUAACACAGUAUUUCCGCAUGGAUUUUCUGUUAAAUAUUUAUAGGAUAUGGAUGGGCUCGCGUGACAUUAGCUUGUUGGCGG